RNAcentral lists this transfer RNA (74 nucleotides) under Betaproteobacteria bacterium ADurb.Bin341. RNAcentral's name for it is "tRNA-Thr". It matches the Rfam family "tRNA". Rfam says of the family: Transfer RNA (tRNA) molecules are approximately 80 nucleotides in length. Their secondary structure includes four short double-helical elements and three loops (D, anti-codon, and T loops). Further hydrogen bonds mediate the characteristic L-shaped molecular structure. tRNAs have two regions of fundamental functional importance: the anti-codon, which is responsible for specific mRNA codon recognition, and the 3' end, to which the tRNAs corresponding amino acid is attached (by aminoacyl-tRNA synthetases). tRNAs cope with the degeneracy of the genetic code in two manners: having more than one tRNA (with a specific anti-codon) for a particular amino acid; and 'wobble' base-pairing, i.e. permitting non-standard base-pairing at the 3rd anti-codon position. The record is from RNAcentral. Lineage: Bacteria; Pseudomonadati; Pseudomonadota; Betaproteobacteria.
GCCCCCGUAGCACGAAGGUCGUGCAGUUGCCUUGUAAGCAUCAGGUUCUGGUUCGAUUCCGGACGGGGGCACCA